GCAUAUCAAGGAAAUGUGUCAGCUUCCCAAGCUGAAUGUCGUCGGUUCGAGUCCGAU
Molecule: transfer RNA, 57 nt
Filed under: Phormidium tenue NIES-30
Lineage: Bacteria; Bacillati; Cyanobacteriota; Cyanophyceae; Oscillatoriales; Oscillatoriaceae
Rfam family: tRNA
About the family: Transfer RNA (tRNA) molecules are approximately 80 nucleotides in length.
Source: Rfam by way of RNAcentral